Molecule: ribosomal RNA, 500 nt
Filed under: uncultured bacterium
Lineage: Bacteria
Description: partial 16S ribosomal RNA
Rfam family: Bacterial small subunit ribosomal RNA
Source: RNAcentral
AUUGAACGCUGGCGGCGUGCUUAACACAUGCAAGUCGAUCGGUAACGCGGGGGCAACCCUGGCGACGAGAGGCGGACGGGUGAGGAACGCUUGGGAAUCUGCCUAUCAGCGGGGGACAACCCGGGGAAACUCGGGCUAAUACCGCAUACGCUCUACGGAGGAAAGCCGGGGACCGCAAGGCCUGGCACUGAUAGAUGAGCCCAAGUCGGAUUAGCUAGUUGGCGGGGUAACGGCCCACCAAGGCGACGAUCCGUAGCUGGUCUGAGAGGACGAUCAGCCACACUGGGACUGAGACACGGCCCAGACUCCUACGGGAGGCAGCAGUGGGGAAUAUUGGACAAUGGGGGAAACCCUGAUCCAGCGACGCCGCGUGGGUGAAGAAGGCCUGCGGGUUGUAAAGCCCUUUCGGUAGGGACGAAAGCUCUCGACCUAACACGUCGGGAGGUUGACUUAACCUACAAAAGAAGCACCGGCUAACUCUGUGCCAGCCGCCGCGGUAA